ACGUGUUCCAAGGGAGAUUGCGGCUCCACUUUCACCCUGGUACUGAGCAGUUGAGCACAAAAUUGGUAACCAAUGCUGCGCUUCCAGCAAAUUUUCCCACCAGCACCCAAUCCUGGGAUAUUUAUUCUCUUUGUCUCACAUCCUACAGGAACGCAGUCGCGGGGUAUAUCCCCCUGAAAAGCGUACUUUGCCGAAUAAUGAUUUCUUUGGAUUAGAGAACUACAACUCCCCUGGGUCCUGAGCCGGUAUUUCCCUUUUGCGGCUGCACAGUAGUUAAAAACAAAGCUAAGUGUUCUGGGACGUAUAGUUCUAGCAUUCCUUGGGUCCCGCUGGCGAGCGUGGGCUUUCUGCAGAGCGCAACCGGCCUCGUGUGCUUUGUGGACGGUUCACCGCGCUUGGAAAGGGAUUGGCCUGGGGUACAUCAUCUAAAGAUCCUAGGAUUGCUGCAGGUCAGCAGUCUCCACUGGAAAAAAAGAUCUUGCCUUUGAUUUGUUGGAGAAACUGUUACCAGAAAAACAGGUCCCGAUCCUGACCUCAAAAGAGUAUUCUUGGAUCUUGCACAGGAAGGAAUUAAAGGGGUACCCUCUGGAAACCAGAACCUCGUAUCCUGCACAGCCCAGUGUUGGGAGAUAAAAUAAGCAAAAUACACCACUGAGUGAAUCUAAGAAAUUGGAUGUGGAGCCAAACCUGCUUCCACCUUUUGAUUUCUGGACACACAUGUUCUUCCUAUCGAGAACACAGCACCGUAGAGACGUCUCUGAUUCAAACAAUGCACCAUGUCCUGAAAGAUGGCACCCACCCCUCAGAGUGCUUCCUCCAGGCUGGCACUGAGCUGUGCCUGUAGAAGACCUGUCCAGCAUUCCUUGUGGCUGGCAGCCCCUGGGUGGUGCAGAUGGUGAUAGGAAUAGUGGAACCCACAGCCAUGGAAAUACUAAAACUUUCCCUGCCAAGUGGGUCCUUCAGGCAGAUAAUGGGCUAGGAGCACCGCCUGGCCUGCGGAUCAGGAAUGUGAACAGCCCCCAGAGAGUGGUGCUGGCUGAGUGUCUGAGAGCAGGACAGAAAAACCCACCCAUAGAAUAGGUGCCUAACCCUGUGAAGAUGAACCUGUGGCCCUUCCAGGAUGGAGGUAGCUAAAUGUAGUCAACUUGUCACUUAGUGGCUAGGUAGUUACCUAAAGAAACAGUGCCCCACUAGGGCACAUCAUGGGCCUCAAAUGCCGAUGAGUUGGACAUUCAGAGGUGGCAGAAGCUGGAUCUGCCUUGGUAGGGGGAAGUCAGUGCUGUUGGCCCCAUACAUAGCCUCAUGCCUACCUCUGUGGUUGCUCCAUUCAUGCACCCCUCCUACCAGGCCUGGGCUGACCCAUGGUGAAGGCUGGCUAACUUCCAUUUGUCUGUUUGGUUGUUCACUGCCACUUCAGACUUGGGUGUUUUCUGUGGGUGUCAACAUAGGAUUCAAGCUCAACCCAGGUGGACCAUUUUCACCUCAUGAUGGAUGCUAUUGGGCUUGUACCAUCUAUGACUUUGUGGGUUACACAGGCACUUGGAACGACAUAGUUGCUUGGUGUCCUGUGGUCAAGCAUUCUAUCUAAUCAGGACAAGGAACACUAAAAGUUGCUUCUAACAGGGGGCUAUGUCUCUGCCAUGGAUGACAUGACCUUACUCCAGAAUCCCAGGCCCUUCAUUGUGACUCUCCCAUUGGUGCUUGGUUGAGCUCCAUCCCGCAUCUUUCCCCACCACUGGCACCACCAGCACCAGGGGGUCUGAGGGAUGGUGACUGCUUGCACCAUGGCCUAGAUCUGCUGCAGGGUCCUUUCCUGUAUAGGCCCCACUUGAAGCUGGCAUCCUCCUAUGUCACCUAGACUGUGGGCCAAAGCAAUAUGUCUAGAUGUGGAAUGUGGUGUUGUCAGAACUCUAAGAGGCUCUUCAGGCAGUGUGCUUCCUUCCUUCUGGUGAGGAUACAAGAUGAAACAGUUUGUCUUUUACCUUGAAGAGGACACCUCUGCAUUCCCCUAAACACUUGGCACUUGUUCACCCAUAAAACUUCACUUUAGUGCCCACUUUUGAAGCUCUGUAAGGUUUAUCUUCACCUUGUGGGGUGCGUGUGUUUUGCAAAGGACUCCAGUGCACUUUCUACCUGCUGCUCAUCUACCCCAGUCAACAUGAAGUUGUCAAUGAAAUGUACUGAUUUAAUAUCCCAAAGGAUGUACAGUAUGUCUAGUAUAGUCUUAAGCCUAUACUGUAGCAGGCAGGGGAGUUACAAUAGCCCUGAGGCAAAUGAUAAAUAAAUGUGUUGUUGAUUCCA
This 2301-nucleotide small RNA is filed under the name Pongo abelii (Sumatran orangutan). RNAcentral describes it as "processed transcript". Lineage: Eukaryota; Metazoa; Chordata; Mammalia; Primates; Hominidae. The record is from RNAcentral.